AUACGGAGGGAGCAAGCGUUAUCGGGAAUCAUUGGGUUUAAAGGGUCCGUAGGCGGACUAUUAAGUCAGAGGGGAAAUCCCACAGCUCAACUGUGGAACUGCCUUUGAUACUGGUAGUCUUGAGUUAUAUGGAAGUAGAUAGAAUGUGUAGUGUAGCGGUGAAAUGCAUAGAUAUUACACAGAAUACCGAUUGCGAAGGCAGUCUACUACGUAUAUACUGACGCUAAGGGACGAAAGCGUGGGGAGCGAACAGGAUUAGAAACCCUAGUAGUCC
This 274-nucleotide ribosomal RNA is filed under the name uncultured bacterium. RNAcentral describes it as "partial 16S ribosomal RNA". It matches the Rfam family "Bacterial small subunit ribosomal RNA", at positions 523 to 796 of the family's 1533-position model. The record is from RNAcentral.